RNAcentral lists this long non-coding RNA (6727 nucleotides) under Musa acuminata (dwarf banana). RNAcentral's name for it is "long non-coding RNA (MACU_LNC000657)". The record is from RNAcentral. Lineage: Eukaryota; Viridiplantae; Streptophyta; Magnoliopsida; Zingiberales; Musaceae.
UCUAUGGGCAUACUUAUUUUUGCUCUGAAAAUGUUCAUUAUCCCCUUCAAAAUAUUGAAGAUCAAUAGUUGGUCAAAUGUGUGAAUUUAAAUUAAUCAUGCUCUCAUGGCUGGUUAAAUUGUGAGAUGAGUGGUAGACUUUUGUCUAGAAGUUAUGUUUAUAUACAACACACGGUAAGAUAUAUUUCUCAUUAUGAUACAUUCAAAUCUAGAUUUCCAAGAAUGACUAAAACAUUGGUCAAUCUAAGUUGCGAUGAGUUUGUUAAAUAACAGAAGGACUAAUUUUUAAUUUUUCUUUUUUUUCAAUUGGCUCUAUGACAUUCACCACUUAUGUGAUAGGACUCUAGCAGGGUUGGGUCCUACUCAACCAAGAAGCAGUUAAUAAAACCCUAUGAGAUUGUAAUAAACCCCAUCUAGCCGCCUCUAUCCUAUAAAGAAGAGUAGCUAGGGUUUAUAUUUGGGUCUUUGGGCUUCCUAGCUGCCGCCCCCUUUUACUGGGCUGGUUGGUUAGGGUUGAGGGCAAAAGGGUAACUCACUUAGGAAGCAACCCCUAGGGCUAGGGUUUGGAGCCCUAUAUAAACAUGUAGCUUCCAUCUCUUUGGAAAUAAGAUCUAUCUACAAUUGCAGCUAUUGACCGACUUUUAGGAGGGUGGAACCCCUAAAGCGUUCCAAGGAGUGAUCUCCCUCAAAGAUCAAUCUACAUAGAAUUCCUCUGGGGUUCUAUCAUCUGGUAUCAAAGCAGCGAUCUUGCUGCUUUUGCUGCCAUCCCUACCGCCCACGACUAGCCAAGCAAUUCCCACAAUUUCUCUUGACGUCGCCAUCUCUACCGUCAUCUUCUGUCGUAGAUCAAAUCAAUCUACUGUCGUCACCUCCAAUUGCAUCAGAGAUAUGGUAUUCUCCUAUCAGUAAUACCUUUUGCUGCUGCAAUUUUCCAUUCAAAAUACCAAGAAGAAGUCUUCUUAUCUAUCCCAUGCUGCGAAUUCCUUUCGUCGCAAAAUUUAUCAUCUUUGCGAACGAAAGAUUGCUGCAGAAAAUUUCAGCCGCAUAUUGUUGCUUUUAACCGAUCUAUUUGCUUUCCUUUUUGAACGAAAUUUCUUAUACGCUUCAUAGAUCAUCUUGGCUUCAAUCUAAGAUUGAUCUAUUGAGGAAUUCAUCUCUAAAAACGUUCUUGUAUUGUUGCAAAUUUUCGUUGCAAACCGCUGGAAUUUUUCGACGAGAAUUCUGCUAUCGCAACUUGCACCAAUCUCCUUGCUGUUAUACUAUCGAAUUUUUUUUUAUUAAAUUUGUUAUCAUUGUUGUUAUCUAAACUAACAUUUUGUUGUCAAAUUCCCUCCUCAAAUCUCUUGGUUUUUGCUAGAAAUUUCGUCGAGAAACCGAUGUUUCUUUGACGAUAAUUCUGCUCAUACAAGACAACACCUAUCUGCAGCAACUUUCACUGAUUUCUAUCAAACCUUUGCUGCCAUCUACCACAGAUCUAAAACUUUUUUCCUAACCUUCAUCCACUACCAUCACAACCCUAAAACUCCACCAAACCACACCCUCAAACUGCACCCAAAACAGCCAAAAAACAAGCCUAAAACCGCAGCCUACAUCCACCAAUCCACCAACCCUUUCGACCACCACUUCUCUCAACCGAUACAUGCCUUUAACCCGACAACAAAAGAGAGAUCUUAAUAUUACAGAUUUGGAGGCAUAUACUAUGGCAUCUGAGGAGGCAAUCAAUGCAAAAUUCGAAGCCUUCGAGAUGCGAAUGGAGGAUAAGAUUCGAACUCUCUUUAUCGAACUUAGUUUGGGCCGAUCACCAAGCCCGAAGAAAUCACAUCAAGAGGAGAGCUCUGACCAAUCACACCAAGCCUGAAGAGAUGACUUCCAAGAGAGGGGAGGCUCUAUGAUCGAUCCCCACUAUCCACGCAUGAGGGUGGACUUCCCUAGAUAGGAAGAAGGAGACCUGAUUGGUUGGAUCUCGCGCGCGGAGCGAUAUUUUUGGUACCACAAAACCGCGAACACAUCUAUGGUGGAAAUUACAGCUAUACAUCUUGAAGGGGAUGACAUACAUUGGUUUGACUGGUUCGAACGCACUGAUGGAGUCCUCUCAUGGCGACAAUUCAAAGAAGGACUGCUGAUCCGCUUCGGACCAACUGAUUACGAGAACAUUGAAGGACAACUAGCAAAGAUCCGACAAACCUCUACCAUUCAGGAGUACCAAACCAGGUUUGAAAGGUUAUCUAAUCAAACUCGUGAUUGGUCUGAAAAACAGCUAUUGGGGACCUUCAUUGAGGGCUUGAAGCCGGAGAUCCGGGGAGAAGUUAAAGAGCGUCAACCGUACACGCUUUUGGCAACCAUCUCUUUCGUACGACUUCAAGAGGAGCGAUUGAAUCAUGAAGCCCGGAGGACUAGGGUCGCUCCCCGACUAGCAAUACUGAAGCCCUCAGCCCCCCCACUGUUAACCGAGCCCUUGCACCAAAAAGGUUGACAAGAGAAGAGCUUCGGGAGCGAUCUGCGAAGGGGUUAUGUUGGCAUUGCGACGAGCCAAGGAGCCGUGAGCAUCGCUGUAAAAAAGGAAGACUUGUGAUUGAACCAGUAGAAGAGGUCAUUGAACAUCUAGAAGAGAGCCUUGAACAUCUAGAAGAGAGCGGAAGAAGAGUCACAACCGACCGACUUUAUAGUACACGCGCUAGCCGGCUACUCAAACCCGCAAACGAUGAAAGUUGGAGGCCUUCUCAAACAACAACCAAUCAUUGUUCUCAUCGACACGGGCAGCACUAAUAACUUCCUAAACAGUAAGGUUGCUGCUCGGAUGGCGCUCCAUAUCGAAGGUUGCAGCAAGUUUGAUGUAAAGGUCGUCGACGGCAGAAUCUUAAAGUGUGACCAAAGAUGCCCGCAAGUGAAACUAUUAUUGCAAGACCAAGAAAUUAUCACCGACUUCUUCCUCCUACCAAUUGAUGACUAUGAGGCCGUGCUUGGCAUAGAAUGGCUGACUACGCUGGGUGAUGUCUCUUGGAACUUUUCCAAAUUAAUUAUGAAAUUCUACUGCAAAGGCAAACAGAUCAUCCUACGUGGGAAGCGCGGAAGCAACGUAACCACUGUUUUGACCCAACGAUUGGGGAAAGUUUUACACAAGGUAAAUGGUGGCUUUUUGAUGCAUCUCCAACAGCAACCAAAGGGGAAGAAAAUAUAAAUUGAAGAUCAAAAUCUCGUCCAAUUGCUUGCUGAAUUUAUCGACAUUUUUGCUGAGUCGCGCGAUCUUCCUCUUACUCGGCAACAUGACCAUCGGAUUCCAAUCCUUCCAGGCAAACCACCAGCGAACACUCGGCUGUACCGUUAUCCUCACCUCCAGAAGGAUGAAAUUGAAAAAUUGUAAAGAAGACGCUUGAAACAGGGGUGAUUGAGCCAAGUUACAGCCCCUAUUCCUCAUCGAUGCUACUUGUACGCAAGAAAGACGGAACUUGACGGAUAUGCAUCAACUACUAAGCUUUAAAUGACAUCACCAUCAAGGACAAGUACCUAAUACCAGUGGUGGAUGAACUUCUUGAUGAGUUAAAAUGAGCUCGAGUCUUCACGAAGUUGGACCUCCGAUCCGGUUACCACCAAAUUCGGGUAUGUGAAGACGAUAUUCCAAAAACUGCAUUCCGCACGUAUGACGACCAUUAUGAAUUCUUAGUAAUGCCUUUUGGAUUCACUAAUGCUCCUUUAACCUGCCAAAGUCUUAUGAACGAUAUUUUUCGGAGCUUUCUUUACAAAUUUGUGCUGAUAUUUUUCAAUGAUAUUCUCAUUUACAGCUCUUCUCUUGAGACUCACUUUCAGCAUUUACGGGUUGUUUUGACGAUCCUUCGGGAGAAUACACUUUUUGUUAAGCAACCAAAGUGCAACUUUCUCCAGCAAAAAGUAGAGUACCUUGGGCACAUAAUAUCAGGAGUGACGGUAGACCCAACAAAAAUUGAAGCAAUGCAAGGCUGGUCGAAACCUACAAACAUGAAAUUACUACGCGGGUUCCUUGGACUAACGGGCUACUACCGAAAAUUUGUCAAGGACUAUGGGAAGAUCAGUGCAACCCUCACUUCUCUCCUGAAAAAAAAAUGUCUUCCAAUGGUCGGACAAAGCCUCUGUUGCCUUCGACAAACUUAAGGCACCCAUGACGACGACGCCGAUGCUAACGCUACCAGAUUUCGACAAAAUUGAAGCAAUGCAAGGCUGGUCGAAACCUACAAACAUGAAAUUACUACGCGGGUUCCUUGGACUAACGGGCUACUACCGAAAAUUUGUCAAGGACUAUGGGAAGAUUAGUGCACCCCUCACUUCUCUCCUGAAAAAAAAUGUCUUCCAAUGGUCGGACAAAGCCUCUGUUGCCUUCGACAAACUUAAGGCACCCAUGACGACGACGCCGGUGCUAACGCUACCAGAUUUCAGCCAACCCUUCAUCAAUGAGGCCAACGCAUCUGGAGUCCGAAUUGGAGCCGUUCUUAUGCAAGAUGGUUGACCACUCGUAUACACCAGCAAGGCAUUGUCCCCCUCCCAUCAAAACAUGUCAAUAUAUGAUAAGGAGAUGCUCGCCAUUGUGCAUGCAGUAACGAGGUGAAGACCCUACCUGAUCGGUCGAUGAUUUCAAAUUAAAACCGAUCAUAGAAGCCUCAAGUACUUUUUGGAGCAGAAGAUAUCAUCCCCUAAGCAGCAAAAAUGGGUAACCAAACUUCUAGUAUUUGAUUAUGAAAUUAUUUACAAAAAGGGGAAAGAAAACAUUGUUGCAGAUGCACUCUCACGGCUACCUGAGCAAGCUAAAUUUUUAGCCAUCUCCCUUCUUACCAUGGGCUUCCUCGAGGACAUUAGGGAAGAAUGGAAGAAGGAUCAAGAGAUUAGCAACAUCAAAAAAAAAUUGGAGGAGGAUCCAAGUGCAAUAGCCCACUACACUUGGGAUUCGAGGGAUCUACGCUACAAAGGUCGUAUUGUGCUUAUACCCGACUCCCCUUGCAUCAAAAUCAUCCUGCAUGAAAUGCACUCCACACCUUCAGCAGGGCACUCCAGAUUUUUAAGAACCUACAAAAGAGUGAAGCAAAUUUUUUAUUGGAGAGGGAUGAAAAAAAAUAUUUCUGAAUAUAUGGCACAAUGUGGUAUAUGUCAACAGCACAAGGGUGAAACAGUGGCAAGUCCAGGGAAGCUACAACCACUACCCAUACCGGACUCGGUGUGGACUGACAUCUCUAUGGACUUCAUCAAAGGGCUACCACCUUCUAAAGGCAAAAGCAUAAUUCUCGUAGUAGUUGAUUAACUUAUGAAAUAUGCUCAUUUUUUGUGCUGUGCGAAAUCCCUACACUACUGCUAGCAUUGCCUAGAUUUUCAUAGAAAAUAUUGUUAAAUUGCAUGGGAUGCCAAGGUCCAUUGUAAGUGAUUGUGACAGGAUCCUCACUAGUAAAUUUUGGACCGAAUUAUUUCAGUUACAGGGCACCAAACUCAAGAUGAGCACAACAUAUCAUCCACAAACUGACAGCCAAACUGAGGUGGUAAACAGGUGUUUAGAGACGUACCUUCGGUGUUUCGCUAGUGACCGGCCAAAGGAGUGGGCGAAAUGGCUUCCCUGGGCUGAAUGGUGGUAUAAUACUACAUAUCAUUCAUCUACAAAACGUGCCCUUUAUGAAGCACUGUAUGGUUGGCCGACCCCUGUGAUUCCAAAGUAUAUAAUUGGCUCGGCCAAGGUAGAUCAGGUCGACUAAGAAUUGAUUGACAGGGACAAACUCCUACAACUGCUAAAGGAUAAUCUCUUUACCGCUCAAGCUAGAAUGAAGCAGCAAGCUGACACACGACGAAGCGAAAGAGAAUUUUCAGUAGGAGAUUGGGUUUAUCUUCGCCUAUAGCUAUACAAGCAACUAUCCAUCAACACACGAGCCUCCAUGAAACUAUCCCCACGUUUUUAUGGGCCCUAUCAGAUCAUAGAGCGUAUUGGAGUUGUGGCGUACAGACUUAAAUUGUUUGAGGAUGCCAAAAUUCACACCGUCUUCCACGUGUCAUGCCUGAAGCCCAAGUUGGGGGAACACGAGUCACCCUAGAUCCAACUGCCUAACACCACUGAUGAUGGAGAUAUUCAAGCCCAGCCACAAGUCAUCCUCGACCGUAGAAUUGUGAUGCAUCAUCGACGUCCCUCUACUGAAGUACUAGUGCAUUAGAAUAAUUUACCACUUGAAGACGCCACAUAGGAAUCACAUGUGGAGUUGAAGACCCGGUUCCCUGAGUUCAUGGAACCUCAGCCUUAAGGACAAGGCUGAUUUGGAGAGGGCAAGCUUGAUAGGACCCUAGCAGGGUUGGGUCAUACUCAACCAAGAAGCAUCUAAUAAAACCCUAUGAGAUUAUAAUAAACCCCACCUAGCCACCUCUAUCCUAUAAAGAAGAGUGGCUAGGGUUUAUAUUUGGGUCUUUGGGCUUCCUAACCGCCGCCCCCUUUUACUGGGCUGGUUGGUUAGGGUUGACGGCAAAAAGGGUAACUCACUUAGGAAGCAGCCCCUAGGGCUAGGGUUUGGAGCCCUAUAUAAGCAUGUAGCUUCCAUCUCUUUGAAAAUAAGAUCUAUCUACAAUUAUAGCCAUUUGGCCAACUUCUACGAGGGUGGAACCCCUAUAGCGUUCCAAGGAGUGAUCUCCCUCAAAGAUCAAUCUACAUAGAAUUCCUCUGGGGUUCUAUCAUCAUGACAUUUAUAAGUAUCCAAAGGUGGAAAUGUAGUAUUUGGACUGUAAAACUUAUUGUG